RNAcentral lists this ribosomal RNA (462 nucleotides) under uncultured bacterium. RNAcentral describes it as "bacterial SSU rRNA". It matches the Rfam family "Bacterial small subunit ribosomal RNA", at positions 339 to 793 of the family's 1533-position model. The record is from RNAcentral.
UUACGGGAGGCAGCAGUGGGGAAUUUUGGACAAUGGGCGAAAGCCUGAUCCAGCAAUGCCGCGUGAGUGAAGAAGGCCUUCGGGUUGUAAAGCUCUUUUGUCAGGGAAGAAACGGUGUGGGCUAAUAUCCCGCACUAAUGACGGUACCUGAAGAAUAAGCACCGGCUAACUACGUGCCAGCAGCCGCGGUAAUACGUAGGGUGCAAGCGUUAAUCGGAAUUACUGGGCGUAAAGCGUGCGCAGGCGGUUUUGUAAGUUUGUCGUGAAAGCCCCGGGCUCAACCUGGGAAUUGCGAUGAAGACUGCAAGGCUUGAAUCUGGCAGAGGGGGGUAGAAUUCCACGUGUAGCAGUGAAAUGCGUAGAGAUGUGGAGGAACACCGAUGGCGAAGGCAGCCCCCUGGGUCAAGAUUGACGCUCAUGCACGAAAGCGUGGGGAGCAAACAGGAUUAGAUACCCCAGUAC